GAGGAUGUAGGUCAGUGGUAGACACGUGCUUCACAUGCAUGAGACACUGGGUUUAAACUCUAGCAUCUUCU
This 71-nucleotide transfer RNA is filed under the name Ictidomys tridecemlineatus (thirteen-lined ground squirrel). RNAcentral's name for it is "Spermophilus tridecemlineatus (thirteen-lined ground squirrel) tRNA". It matches the Rfam family "tRNA". Rfam says of the family: Transfer RNA (tRNA) molecules are approximately 80 nucleotides in length. The record is from Rfam by way of RNAcentral. Lineage: Eukaryota; Metazoa; Chordata; Mammalia; Rodentia; Sciuridae.